This 253-nucleotide ribosomal RNA is filed under the name uncultured bacterium. RNAcentral's name for it is "partial 16S ribosomal RNA". It matches the Rfam family "Bacterial small subunit ribosomal RNA", at positions 524 to 776 of the family's 1533-position model. The record is from RNAcentral.
UACGUAGGCAGCAAACGUUGUUCGGAAUUACUGGGCGUAAAGCGCGCGUAGGCGGCUUUGCAAGUCGGGUGUGAAAUCCCCAGGCUUAACCUGGGAACUGCAUUCGAGACUGCAUUGCUAGAGUAUGGGAGAGGGAAGUGGAAUUUCCGGUGUAGCGGUGAAAUGCGUAGAUAUCGGAAGGAACAUCAGUGGCGAAAGCGACUUCCUGGACCAAUACUGACGCUCAUGUGCGAAAGCGUGGGGAGCAAACAGG